UACGUAGGGUGCGAGCGUUAAUCGGAAUUACUGGGCGUAAAGCGUGCGCAGGCGGUUCUCCAAGUCCGUUGUGAAAGCCCCGGGCUCAACCUGGGAAUGGCAGUGGAAACUAGGGGACUGGAAUCUGGCAGAGGGGGGUGGAAUGCCGCGUGUAGCAGUGAAAUGCGUAGAUAUGCGGAGGAACACCGAUGGCGAAGGCAAUCCCCUGGGCCUGCAUUGACGCUCAUGCACGAAAGCGUGGGGAGCAAACAGG
RNAcentral lists this ribosomal RNA (253 nucleotides) under uncultured bacterium. RNAcentral's name for it is "partial 16S ribosomal RNA". It matches the Rfam family "Bacterial small subunit ribosomal RNA", at positions 524 to 776 of the family's 1533-position model. The record is from RNAcentral.